ACACUCCUACGGGAGGCAGCAGUGGGGAAUAUCGCACAAUGGGCGCAAGCCUGAUGCAGCCAUGCCGCGUGUAUGAAGAAGGCCUUCGGGUUGUAAAGUACUUUCAGCGGGGAGGAAGGCGAUAAGGUUAAUAACCUUGUCGAUUGACGUUACCCGCAGAAGAAGCACCGGCUAACUCCGUGCCAGCAGCCGCGGUAAUACGGAGGGUGCAAGCGUUAAUCGGAAUUACUGGGCGUAAAGCGCACGCAGGCGGUCUGUCAAGUCGGAUGUGAAAUCCCCGGGCUCAACCUGGGAACUGCAUUCGAAACUGGCAGGCUAGAGUCUUGUAGAGGGGGGUAGAAUUCCAGGUGUAGCGGUGAAAUGCGUAGAGAUCUGGAGGAAUACCGGUGGCGAAGGCGGCCCCCUGGACAAAGACUGACGCUCAGGUGCGAAAGCGUGGGGAGCAAACAGGAUUAGAAACCCCAGUAGUCCC
This 472-nucleotide ribosomal RNA is filed under the name uncultured organism. RNAcentral's name for it is "partial 16S ribosomal RNA". It matches the Rfam family "Bacterial small subunit ribosomal RNA", at positions 333 to 797 of the family's 1533-position model. The record is from RNAcentral.